UACAUGGGGUGCAAACGUUGCUCGGAAUUAUUGGGCGUAAAGCGCGCGUAGGCGGUUACUCAAGUCGGAUGUGAAAGCCCUCGGCUUAACUGAGGAAGUGCACCCGAAACUGAGUAGCUGGAGUACGAAAGAGGGUCGCGGAAUUCCCGGUGUAGAGGUGAAAUUCGUAGAUAUCGGGAGGAACACCGGUGGCGAAGGCGGCGACCUGGGUCGAGACUGACGCUGAGGCGCGAAAGCGUGGGGAGCAAACAGG
RNAcentral lists this ribosomal RNA (253 nucleotides) under uncultured bacterium. Its description in RNAcentral is "partial 16S ribosomal RNA". It matches the Rfam family "Bacterial small subunit ribosomal RNA", at positions 524 to 776 of the family's 1533-position model. The record is from RNAcentral.